This is a long non-coding RNA of Pezoporus occidentalis (night parrot), 201 nucleotides long. RefSeq lists it as uncharacterized. The record is from RefSeq and is a predicted model, not a curated record. The transcript is spliced from 4 exons. NCBI's taxonomy places the organism in Eukaryota, Metazoa, Chordata, Aves, Psittaciformes, Psittacidae.
AGGGACCCCAAGGAAAACCCGGUUUGCCUGGGAUGCCCGGGUCCGACGGCGCCCCCGGUCACCCCGGCAAGGAGGGACCCCCAGGCUCCAAAGGGCACCAGGGUCCUUCAGGUCCUCAAGGUCCCAUUGGCUACCCGGGGUCACGUGGUGUCAAGGGGGCAGACGGCAUCCGGGGCCUCAAAGGACACAAGGGAGAGAAGG